RNAcentral lists this long non-coding RNA (897 nucleotides) under Gallus gallus (chicken). Its description in RNAcentral is "long non-coding RNA NONGGAT011956". Lineage: Eukaryota; Metazoa; Chordata; Aves; Galliformes; Phasianidae. The record is from RNAcentral.
CUAGAAUGGAACUGUGAGGUAUCUUGCAGUGUUUGCAAGCUGACGCAACCAAGCCAAAGCUCUUUAGAGACAUUAGGAUUAUGAGAAUACUUCCAGGGAUAAUAGGUAGCGUGAAUCCAUCUAAAAUAUCCAUUGGGAGGCUAAAAUACUUGGCAUUCAUUUGAGAGAAAUCAGCUAAAGCAGAACUACAGAAAACUAAAACUCCAUCACAUUCUACUCCCUUGUCUCACUGAAGCCAUCACAUGAUGCGUCAAUAUACUGAGCACAAUUUGGUAUUUUAAGCAUUUGGUAAUUGUCUGUAAAAUUGUAGGUCUCCCUCCAGAAUGAGAGUUGCAAGAAUUUUGAGGAAAAGGAAUAGGUAACUGCAGAAUUGGCCAAAUGUCUGAAGUUUCAGAGACAGCUCUGGCAUCUCUGAAGCAUUGUGGUAGCAGUGGUGGCUACCACUCCUCAAGUGUGCCACCUCUGCCCUCUUGCUUGAUGGAAAUAUGGGCAGGUAAUGACCACUUCGGAAAGGUCUAGUGUGAUUGUGAAGCCGAAGACUCCUGAAAUCCAGCAAAAGCUGAGCACUGACUGGAGUCCCUGUGAAACUCAUGAUUUUUAACUUUAAAAUAAAAUACUCUGUGUGCUCCGGUGUCAGUACCGGAUGGAUCCGUCCCUGCUCAAACUGAAGAGUAUCUCCUUAGAAAAACAGGGCAGUUGUGGGGUCAUCUGCAUGGAGGGGGAGAGGAGGAAGAACACAACAAUAGCUUGUUUUGUUUCUAAUAUAGGCCAGGGAGCAAAUGCCGGAGGCCAGUGGAGCCGUGGAGAGCAGAGUUUCACAGAGCAAGAAAGGUGUAAUCUUACGGAAAGGAAUUAUUUUUAUACUUCGGAUUGUGUUGCUGGUUACAGUAACUGUGA